This is a long non-coding RNA of Daphnia carinata, 524 nucleotides long. RefSeq lists it as uncharacterized. NCBI's taxonomy places the organism in Eukaryota, Metazoa, Arthropoda, Branchiopoda, Diplostraca, Daphniidae. The record is from RefSeq and is a predicted model, not a curated record. The transcript is spliced from 3 exons.
AUGUGCUCAAAAUUUUGAAAAAUGUGAACUGCAAAAACAGUUGAUCAGAAUUUUGAACGUCAAAAGUACUUAUUUCUGGAAAAUCAGUUAAUCUACAUCCUGAUUUUCUGCUGUUUCAUCAGUCACUAUGCAGUGUGUUUGGACAACGGAAGCAUUCUUGAAUCAGACUGCUUCAGUUUAUAUCGAAGAUGUAUUGCUUGUCAUGCCCGGUGACCAACUUCACAGGACUAUGUUCAAAUUUAGAUUACAUGCCUAGCAUGAAAGAGAUCAAGUAUAUUACCGAAAUUCGCUAUCUCAAUUCGCGAAUUCCGAACUCAUCUUCAGUCUGUCAUUCUGAUGCAGGGGUCCUGAAAGAAGUUGGAACGUUUUGAACCGUCUCAGCCAAUAAGUAUUAGAAAAUGGAAGUCGCUUAAUGAUGAGUUUCUUCGCUGCCCGUCAACUUACCAUCCAAGCAAGCACUGUCUGUCAAACCAUUAGCCGAAUACAAUUAAUACCAGUAGUUCACCAAAACAAGAGGUAAAGAA